GACGAACGCUGGCGGCGUGCUUAACACAUGCAAGUCGAACGGUGAAGCGCCUUCCUUUUUGGUGGGUGUGGAUGAGUGGCGAACGGGUGAGUAACACGUGAGUAACCUGCCCCCUUCUUCUGGAUAACCGCAUGAAAGUGUGGCUAAUACGGGAUAUUCUGGGUCUGUCGCAUGAUGGGUCUGGGAAAGAUAUUGUUUCGGUGGGGGAUGGGCUCGCGGCGUAUUAGCUUGUUGGUGAGGUGAUGGCCUACCAAGGCGGCGGUGCAUAGCCGGCCUGAGAGGGUGAUCGACGGUCAGAGUAGGAAUGCGCGGUCGAGCAGACUCCGACAGGAGGCAGUAGGGAGGAAUAUGGAACAGGGGGAGGCAGGCUGGUGCAGCGCCGCGGCGUGAGGGAUGGAGGCCUGAUGGUUGUGAACCUCUUUCGGCAGUGAAGCAAGCCUGCCUCGUUUGUGCGUGGCUUGACGGUAGCUGGACAAGAAGCGCCGGCUAACUACGUG
RNAcentral lists this ribosomal RNA (497 nucleotides) under uncultured bacterium. RNAcentral describes it as "partial 16S ribosomal RNA". It matches the Rfam family "Bacterial small subunit ribosomal RNA", at positions 28 to 507 of the family's 1533-position model. The record is from RNAcentral.